Molecule: long non-coding RNA, 1133 nt
Organism: Chenopodium quinoa (quinoa)
Lineage: Eukaryota; Viridiplantae; Streptophyta; Magnoliopsida; Caryophyllales; Amaranthaceae
Exons: 3
Source: RefSeq, a predicted model, not a curated record
GAAUGAUGAAUUUUUUAGAAAAUUACAGUCCGAAUUGGGGCAGCUUCGUUUUGCCAUGGCUGAGGAAAUGGAGGAUGGAGGACAGAUUCAUUGAGUUGGAGACUUGGAGGCAUUGCAGAAGGCUCUUUCAGAAGCAAUAAGGUAUGCAAAUGCGUAUGAUAAAAUGGAGAGUGAGCUUGUUAAAGCUAAGCAAAGUCUUACAAAGAUCUUGCUGGAGAUGGUUGAGCAUAAUGAGCUGAAUAUGUCUUUGGUGACACUACUCAAUGAGAACAUAGCAAGUGCACAUCAAAGUGAUCAGGUAUGAGAGGUUCAAGCAUUAUUAGAAGUUACUUCGUAGAAUGCAAGCCUAGAAUUUCAUUCUAAAAUACAUUAGUGGUGGAUAACAGGACAAACCGCAUUGAUUAGAGUGUAGCUUAUAAGAUAAUGAGUAGAUGUAUAAAACAUGAUUUGCCUUCCCAUUUUCUGAGAACAUGAGGGUGAUACUCACUUUAUAACACUUUUUGGAAGACAUAUUAGCUGAGAUUCUCUAGAAAAAUGUGGGUUAUGUAGGGAAGGUACUUUGGUAGAGAAACUUUAGGACCAGAAAAACUGAAUACUGAUGAUAGAAGAAAAUUGCAGAAAUUAUGAACUUUAUUCUAUGUUGAGGCAUCCUACUAAUUGAUUAUUGCUAAUGUUAAAUGGUAGUGUAGGGCUUUCAGUAUUAACUAUUGUUUCCCUGCAAUUCACCUAGAAUUGACCAAAGGGCCAGUAUAGGCUCAGCACGGCCCGACUUGGCCCUGUCCACCAAGUCACUUACUCUAUGAAUUAUUUUCUUUGUUAAACCAUAACCAAAAAACACAAGACUACGAGUGGAGCGAAAGAAAAGAGUUUGAGAGAUAUCUAAGGAGAUAGCAGUGAGUUUUAAGAAAGAGGGAAGGAAGGGAAAGUGGUACAGUGAAGGAGUGAGAAAGUAGGAGGAGAUUACUAAAAUUACAAAAAUUAGAAAAUAUGAAAGGGGAGAGAGAAAGGGAGUGUGAAAACAAGGGUCUGGAAAGAUAAAUAGAUAGAUUGAGGAUAUCAAGUAGAAAAAGGCCUUCUAAAAUUCACGAUCCGUAAAUAAACGAGUAACACAAGGAGAUAGAGCCUAUAGAGAA